GAUGAAGAACGUAGCGAAAUGCGAUAAUUAAUGUGAAUUGCAGAAUUCCGUGAAUCAUUGAGUCUUUGAACGCACAUUGCGCCUCAUGGCAUUCCGUGAGGCAUGCCCAUCUCAGCGUUAGAAAAUAUUCUCAAAUUUUAGUUUUGUGCUAAAAUUUGGAUCAUGUCAAGGAAGCUAUUACUAUUAUUGUGAUCGCUCUUUGGAAAUUGAUAGGUCUUUGAGUUGCUACUCAUAGAACGUGAUGAAUCUUUCUUCGUUCUAUUGUAAUUCACUCUGGUAGUCCUAAAACUUGUAUGCCUGUGGCAUAUCUUGUAAUUUGACCUGAGAUUGGGUAGGGAUACCCACUGAACUUAAGCAUAUCAAUAACGGAGGA
This 373-nucleotide unclassified non-coding RNA is filed under the name soil metagenome. Its description in RNAcentral is "partial internal transcribed spacer 1". The stretch from base 1 to 120 matches the Rfam family "5.8S ribosomal RNA", at positions 35 to 154 of the family's 154-position model. The record is from RNAcentral.